GAUGAACGCUAGCGACAGGCCUAACACAUGCAAGUCGAGGGGUAACAUUAUUAAAGCUUGCUUUAAUAGAUGACAACCGGCGCACGGGUGCGUAACGCGUAUGCAACCUACCCAUUACAGGAGGAUAGCCCAGAGAAAUUUGGAUUAAUACUCCAUAGUAUUUACUGAAAGCAUUUUUAGUAUUUUAAAAGAUUCGUCUGGUAAUGGAUGGGCAUGCGUAUGAUUAGUUAGUUGGUAGGGUAACGGCCUACCAAGACGACGAUCAUUAGGGGUUCUGAGAGGAUAGUCCCCCACACUGGUACUGAGACACGGACCAGACUCCUACGGGAGGCAGCAGUGAGGAAUAUUGGUCAAUGGGCGAGAGCCUGAACCAGCCAAGUCGCGUGCAGGACGACUGCCCUAUGGGUUGUAAACUGCUUUUAUAUAGGAAUAAUUGUUUCUACGUGUAGGAAUUUGAAUGUACUAUAUGAAUAAGCACCGGCUAACUCCGUGCCAGCAGCCGCGGUAAUACGGAGGGUGCAAGCGUUAUCCGGAUUUAUUGGGUUUAAAGGGUGCGUAGGCGGGUUCAUAAGUCAGUGGUGAAAGUCUGUCGCUUAACGAUAGAAUUGCCAUUGAAACUGUGGAUCUUGAAUACAGUAGAGGUAGGCGGAAUAUAUUGUGUAGCGGUGAAAUGCAUAGAUACGAUAUAGAACACCUAUUGCGAAGGCAGCUUACUAUGCUGUAAUUGACGCUGAUGCACGAAAGCGUGGGGAGCGAACAGG
This 761-nucleotide ribosomal RNA is filed under the name uncultured bacterium. RNAcentral's name for it is "bacterial SSU rRNA". It matches the Rfam family "Bacterial small subunit ribosomal RNA", at positions 28 to 776 of the family's 1533-position model. The record is from RNAcentral.